Molecule: ribosomal RNA, 543 nt
Filed under: Triticum aestivum (bread wheat)
Lineage: Eukaryota; Viridiplantae; Streptophyta; Magnoliopsida; Poales; Poaceae
Description: partial small subunit ribosomal RNA
Source: RNAcentral
AUGGUUGUCGCUGAGUUUGUGGAUGAACGGACAAAACUUCUACAGGCAGCAUCACUGAUAGCUCUUGUUCAGGCCUGGAUCCUGUUGGUCCAUAAGAGAGUUAUUCGUCGGAAUGAGAAACUUCUCAUUCGGUAUGGUCCGAUGUUAAUCCGGGAUCAGGAGAGGAUAACGAAUUUGAACUACAUCUACAACUACAAUGACACAUAGGCUAUGUGGAUACUUCGAAUGAAAAGAGCACCUUUCGUCAGGCUUGUGUAGACGUUCAGGAGUAGGGGGCUGCUAGAAGAUAGCAUCCACACCACUGUGGAAGAGCAAGUAGCCAUGUUCCUUCAUGUUGUUGGUCAUAACCAGAGGUUUAGAAUUGUACACAACACUUUCAAGAGAUCAAUGGAGACCAUCUCCAGGUACUUCAAGCAAGUGUUGUAUGCUGUUGAGAAGUUCAGAGGAGAGAUGAUCAGGUCAACAACUGGCCGGACUCCUACCAAGAUUCGCACUAGCCUAAGAUGGUAUCCAUACUUCAAGGUGAGCACUGACAAUAUGUAG